AGGCAGCAGUGGGGAAUAUUGCACAAUGGGGGAAACCCUGAUGCAGCGACGCCGCGUGAAGGAAGAAGUAUCUCGGUAUGUAAACUUCUAUCAGCAGGGAAGACAAUGACGGUACCUGACUAAGAAGCCCCGGCUAACUACGUGCC
This 146-nucleotide ribosomal RNA is filed under the name uncultured bacterium. Its description in RNAcentral is "partial 16S ribosomal RNA". It matches the Rfam family "Bacterial small subunit ribosomal RNA", at positions 346 to 509 of the family's 1533-position model. The record is from RNAcentral.